This 228-nucleotide ribosomal RNA is filed under the name uncultured bacterium. RNAcentral describes it as "partial 16S ribosomal RNA". It matches the Rfam family "Bacterial small subunit ribosomal RNA", at positions 91 to 334 of the family's 1533-position model. The record is from RNAcentral.
UUUAGUGGCGGACGGGUGAGUAACACGUUGGUACUUGCCCUCUAGUGGGGAAUAACUGCCCGAAAGGGUGGCUAAUACCGCAUGUGAUCUUCGGAUCAAAGCCUUCGGGCGCUAGAGGAGAGGCCUGCGUCCCAUUAGCUAGUUGGUAGGGUAAUGGCCUACCAAGGCGACGAUGGGUAGCUGGUUCGAGAGGAUGACCAGCCACACUGGGACUGAGAUACGGCCCAG